RNAcentral lists this ribosomal RNA (524 nucleotides) under uncultured bacterium. Its description in RNAcentral is "partial 16S ribosomal RNA". It matches the Rfam family "Bacterial small subunit ribosomal RNA", at positions 28 to 523 of the family's 1533-position model. The record is from RNAcentral.
GACGAACGCUGGCGGCGUGCCUAAUACAUGCAAGUCGAACGCUUCUUUUCCCACCGGAGCUUGCUCCACCGGGAAAAGAGGAGUGGCGAACGGGUGAGUAACACGUGGGUAACCUGCCCAUCAGAAGGGGAUAACACUUGGAAACAGGUGCUAAUACCGUAUAACAAUCGAAACCGCAUGGUUUCGUUUUGAAAGGCGCUUUACGGUGCCGCUGAUGGAUGGACCCGCGGUGCAUUAGCUAGUUGGCGAGGUAACGGCUCACCAAGGCCACGAUGCAUAGCCGACCUGAGAGGGUGAUCGGUCACAUUGGGACUGAGACACGGCCCAAACUCCUACGGGAGGCAGCAGUAGGGAAUCUUCGGCAAUGGACGAAAGUCUGACCGAGCAACGCCGCGUGAGUGAAGAAGGUUUUCGGAUCGUAAAACUCUGUUGUUAGAGAAGAACAAGGGUGAGAGUAACUGUUCACCCCUUGACGGUAUCUAACCAGAAAGCCACGGCUAACUACGUGCCAGCAGCCGCGGUAA